RNAcentral lists this ribosomal RNA (480 nucleotides) under uncultured bacterium. RNAcentral describes it as "bacterial SSU rRNA". It matches the Rfam family "Bacterial small subunit ribosomal RNA", at positions 28 to 512 of the family's 1533-position model. The record is from RNAcentral.
GAUGAACGCUGGCGGCGUGGCUAAGGCAUGCAAGUCGUAAGCUAAUAGCAAUAUUGGCUUGGCAAACGGGAGCGGAACACAUUGGUAAUCUGCCCCGAGGACGAGGAUAAUCCUGCGAAAGUGGGAAUAAUACUCGAUAGUAGUGAGGGGACAAAAGUCAUUCUCACUUAAAGCAGUAAUGCACCUCGGGAGGAACCUAUGUCCUAUCAGCUAGUUGGUGAGGUAAUGGCUCACCAAGGCUAUGACGGGUACCGGGUGUGAGAGCAUGACCCGGCUCACUGGGACUGAGACACUGCCCAGACUCCUACGGGAGGCAGCAGUAAGGAAUAUUGGACAAUGGCCGCAAGGCUGAUCCAGCCAUGCCGCGUGAAGGAUGAAGGUGCUAUGCAUUGUAAACUUCUUUUGUCCCGGAAUAAACCCCUGAUUUCUAUCGGGGCUGAAUGUACGGGAAGAAUAAGGGACGGCUAACUUCGUGCCAGC